This 447-nucleotide ribosomal RNA is filed under the name uncultured bacterium. Its description in RNAcentral is "bacterial SSU rRNA". It matches the Rfam family "Bacterial small subunit ribosomal RNA", at positions 355 to 825 of the family's 1533-position model. The record is from RNAcentral.
UGGGGAAUAUUGGACAAUGGGCGCAAGCCUGAUCCAGCCAUGCCGCGUGAGUGACGAAGGUCUUCGGAUUGUAAAACUCUUUUGGCGGGGACGAUAAUGACGGUACCCGCAGAAUAAGCCCCGGCUAACUUCGUGCCAGCAGCCGCGGUAAUACGAAGGGGGCUAGCGUUGUUCGGAAUCACUGGGCGUAAAGCGCACGUAGGCGGAUGUGCCAGUCAGGGGUGAAAUCCCGGAGCUCAACUCCGGAACUGCCUCUGAUACAGCACGUCUUGAGUUCGAGAGAGGUGGGUGGAAUUCCUAGUGUAGAGGUGAAAUUCGUAGAUAUUAGGAAGAACACCGGUGGCGAAGGCGGCCCACUGGCUCGAUACUGACGCUGAGGUGCGAAAGCGUGGGGAGCAAACAGGAUUAGAUACCCAUGUAGUCCCUGAGCGGGCUGGCAAGGCGCAU